GGCCACCCCAACUCUGGCUCGACGACUCUGUUGAUUUCUUCCAGCCCAGUCGGUCCCCAGUCAAUCCGAGACUUUCACUGCGCGAUGAGUUUCCCCGGUCCGUCGGCGAGCGUCGGUUGCGGUUGGUUGUCAAGUGCUGUUUGAGUGCAAGUGAGAAGGUGUGAGUGAGUGCGUGAGGUGGUGAGGGCCCUCCCUCCAAAUCCUCUUCGGUGCAAACGUGGUGCUACGAUCAACGGAUCAGAAGCUGGGACUCGAAGGAAUACCUACCCCCGCGUGAAGGAGAAUUCCUGCUGCGAUUUUCUGGUUCAGCCCACCGUGGAUGGUGUAAGCAUCGAUCGUCGGUACGACGAGCCAUCCCAUGAGAAGCGAUUGAAUUAGUUGGUACGUUUUACAACUAGGAUAGACAAUACCUCUAUUUUCAGUAGUAAGUUCCCUUAAUUUUGUUACGCAAGUACAAAUCCCUAGAUCUCAAUAGAUGCAAACUGUCUGCAACAGUGAAAAGGUUACAUUAUUUGUUUUCCUCUAAUCUCUUCACAAUGAUUCAUCAAACCAAACAGCCGAGAAAAAAAAACAAAAGCUCGUCACAAAAAGCUUAACCCUUGAGAGGGGUUUUUUCUUUCCCCAAAGUUUGUCUAAAUGUCACAAAUUUCAUUCUAUUCCACGCGGCUCUCGAUCCCUCCAAAUCCUUGCCUCUUUGUCUAGCUUUUUAUCUUUUUUCCCCUCUUCUUUAUAUCUUUGUUAUCUGUCAUUUUCUCUGUGAUCCCCCUCCUACCUCCCCUCUUCACCACCAGAACUGCCACGUGAGCAUCUGUUCUGUCAGCACAAAUUUUCCGCGCAACUGUGUGGCCUGUAAUUGGAGAGCUUUAUUUGCCGAAAAGAUAAACUCGUUUUCCACCAUCCCAACACACCUCACUCCCCCAAAAAAGCCCUGCUGUAACAACGUUUUACGAUUCUAUUUCAGAGUAAGGCUCUAUUCUGCAUGUCUGGGAACAUUCUGGAGCAGCAAUUCUGAAUUUCUCAUUUUUCUACACAAUCCCCUGCUCACGGGUUGGUAACGUGCAGCGCUGGGAAAAAAUGGAGAAGAAAAGGGAAAUUCAACGCAACGUUGUCUCUCGAUUUUCCAACGAAGGGAUGUUCUGGGCCCGGUUCUCUUUGCCGGGAUAUAAUUGUGUAAAUACGCGCUCUUGUCUGUGUGUUUUUUGUUGCAUUUGUUCAAGCAACGAAGAUUGAGACGUU
Molecule: long non-coding RNA, 1236 nt
Organism: Culex pipiens pallens (northern house mosquito)
Lineage: Eukaryota; Metazoa; Arthropoda; Insecta; Diptera; Culicidae
Exons: 3
Source: RefSeq, a predicted model, not a curated record